AUUAUGGUUGCCAAUGAUUAGAAAUUGAUUGGGAUUAUUUGUUGGUUGUUUUAGGCGGAGAAUUCUCUUUAGGCGACUUUUGAAAGUGUUAAAGUGGUCUAUCAGUUUGUUUACACAAGUCUCUAAGGAUCAAUAAGCAUUGUCCAUCUGCAGGUUUGAAGAUGUUGCAUCAUUGGGAUCGGGAAUAGAGAGCUUGUAUUUAGUUUUGAUUUGCUAAGUUAACUUGGGUUUGUUAAUUGGGACUUUAAACUUGUCGUACUAUUUAUAUUUCCUUAUUUUCGUUGGUUGAUUUUUGGGGACUAAAUCUGUAAUCGAUUAUUUAUAAACCUAAAGUUAGUUUUAUGUUUUCCGCUGCAAAAUUCUGAAUAAGCCGUUACGUUUUCACA
Molecule: long non-coding RNA, 386 nt
Organism: Spinacia oleracea (spinach)
Lineage: Eukaryota; Viridiplantae; Streptophyta; Magnoliopsida; Caryophyllales; Amaranthaceae
Exons: 2
Source: RefSeq, a predicted model, not a curated record